CGCUGUACACACCGCCCGUCGCUACUACCGAUGGAAUGGCUCGGUGAGGCCUUCGGACUGGCGCAGGAGGGUUGGCAACGACCCCCCCGCGCCGGAAAGUUGGUCAAACCCGGUCAUUUAGAGGAAGUAAAAGUCGUAACAAGGUUUCCGUAGGUGAACCUGCGGAAGGAUCAUUACUGAGUGCGGGCUGCCUCCGGGCGCCCAACCUCCCACCCGUGAAUACCUAACACUGUUGCUUCGGCGGGGAACCCCCUCGGGGGCGAGCCGCCGGGGACUACUGAACUUCAUGCCUGAGAGUGAUGCAGUCUGAGUCUGAAUAUAAAAUCAGUCAAAACUUUCAACAAUGGAUCUCUUGGUUCCGGCAUCGAUGAAGAACGCAGCGAACUGCGAUAAGUAAUGUGAAUUGCAGAAUUCAGUGAAUCAUCGAGUCUUGGAACGCACAUUGCGCCCCCUGGCAUUCCGGGGGGCAUGCCUGUCCGAGCGUCAUUGCUGCCCAUCAAGCCCGGCUUGUGUGUUGGGUCGUCGUCCCCCCCGGGGGACGGGCCCGAAAGGCAGCGGCGGCACCGUGUCCGGUCCUCGAGCGUAUGGGGCUUUGUCACCCGCUCGACUAGGGCCGGCCGGGCGCCAGCCGACGUCUCCAACCAUUCUCUUCAGGUGACCUCGGAUCAGGUAGCUACGGGGUAAC
RNAcentral lists this ribosomal RNA (685 nucleotides) under Aspergillus versicolor. Its description in RNAcentral is "eukaryotic LSU rRNA". The stretch from base 1 to 176 matches the Rfam family "Eukaryotic small subunit ribosomal RNA", at positions 1658 to 1831 of the family's 1831-position model. The record is from RNAcentral. Lineage: Eukaryota; Fungi; Ascomycota; Eurotiomycetes; Eurotiales; Aspergillaceae.